AGGUCACCGCUAUCGGGGUCCGACUAAGCCAUGCGAGGCGAAGGUGCUUCUUCGGAAGCGCCUGCCGAACUGCUCAGUAACACGUAGUCAACCUACCCUCGGGUGGGGGAUAACCCCGGGAAACUGGGACUAAUCCCCCAUAGCCGUUGGGUACUGGAAUGUCCCAACGGCGAAAGGCUUCGGCCGCCCGAGGAUGGGACUGCGGCGGAUUAGGUUGUUGUCAGGGUAACGACCUGACAAGCCGAUAAUCCGUACGGGCCAUGAGAGUGGGAGCCCGGAGAUGCCCUCUGAGACAUGAGGGCAGGUCCUACGGGACGCAGCAGGCGCGAAACCUCCCCAAUGCCUGGAAUCGGGCGGAAAUUUUCCGCCCGCCAGAGGGGUGAGGGGGGGACCCCGAGUGGCCAUGCUCUGCAUGGCCUUUUGCCCUGUGUAAACAGCAGGGCGAAUAAGCGGUGGGCAAGACGGGUGCCAGCCGCCGCGGUAAUACCCGCGCCGCGAGUGGUGACCGCGUUUAUUGGGCCUAGAGCGUCCGUAGCCGGGUAGGCAAGUUCCCCGUGAAAUCCGCGCGUAAACGCGCGGGCGUGCGGGGAAGACUGCCUACCUUGGGACCGGGAGAGGCCGGAGGUAUUCCCCGGGUAGGGGUAAAAUCCUUUAAUCCGGGGAGGACCACCUGUGGCGAAGGCGUCCGGCUGGAACGGGUCCGACGGUGAGGGACGAAAGCCAGGGGAGCGAACGGGAUUAGAUACCCCGGUAGUCCUGGCCGUAAACGAUGCCCGCUUGGUGUUGGACAUCCUUCGGGAUGUCCAGUGCCGGAGCGAAGGUGUUAAGCGGGCCGCCUGGGGAGUACGGCCGCAAGGCUGAAACUUAAGGGAAUUGGCGGGGGAGCACACAAGGGGUGGAGGCUGCGGUUCAAUUGGAUUCAACGCCGGAAACCUUACCAGGGGAGACAGCAGGAUGAAGGUCAGGCUGAAGACCUUACCAGACAAGCUGAGAGGUGUUGCAUGGCCAUCGUCAGCUCGUACCGUGAGGCGUGCCGUUAAGUCGGUUAACGAGCGAGACCCACGCCGCUAGUUGCGACCCGACUUCCUCGGGAGUCGGGGCACUCUAGCGGGACCGCUGGCGAAAAGCCAGAGGAAGGUGUGGGCGACGGUAGGUCAGUAUGGCCCGAAUCCCCUGGGCUACACGCGGCCUACAAUGGACGGGACAAUGGGAUGCGACCCCGAAAGGGGAAGCUAAUCCCCAAACCCGUCCCCAGUUCGGAUCGAGGGCUGCAACUCGCCCUCGUGAAGCCGAAAUCCCUAGUAGGCGAACGUCACUAAAGCGC
Molecule: ribosomal RNA, 1324 nt
Filed under: uncultured archaeon
Lineage: Archaea
Description: 16S ribosomal RNA
Rfam family: Archaeal small subunit ribosomal RNA
Source: RNAcentral